AUGCCAAAGUGCAGUGUUACUCCUAUAUCUUGUGAGAGUGGAUGUAAGCUGCAUAACACAUCAUUCUUUAUCUGGCGGACAAGUGCAGUCUGCCUUCUUCUCUAUUGCUAUGAUCAGUUUCAAUGGAAGCCGGCUGGGUUAUGCUAUCACCUGUCUAAUUGCUGUCCAGUGACACUACUUCGGCUGCCGGUGCGAGCAAACUGUUUGACUCGGAGGUAUGCAGGUCACAAGAACCAGGUCUACCACAUGAAGUUGUCUCAUUCUAAUCAUUGUCAAGAGGGAAUAAACUUGCAAGUGGAGCAGAUAUGGUGUGCAAUUACGAGUAAUACUAUUGAUGCUUAUCCUUGUGGUGGUGAAGACCAUGCACGUGAAUCAUUGUUCAACCUGGAGCUUGCUGUACAUGUGACGGAGUUCGAUGUGCGUGGCAUAGAAGUUUCCCUACGCAACAAGAUCAUAUUUGUGUUUGAAUUUCACUUGCAUGUUGUUGCCAGGUGGAGCUCUUACGGUGUAAACUUUGGUGAAAUGGAAAACCAAGUGUAUGUGCAAACACAUUCCAUUGGAUCGUUGGCCGGGGCACCUCUACAGAAGCAGCAAAUGGAGCUGCAAUAUUAUGGAAAUUGGGCCAUUAACUCUCUUCAUCUGCACCGAUUGGUGGCAAGGAAGGGGAGAGCAACAGGUUCAUGGUUUGAUAAAUUCUUGGAGGCUUUCAUUAUGUGCAUAAACUGUGAGGACCACUGCUGGGGCUUCCUAAGCUCACUUCUAUCUGAUUGGCCGAAGUUUGGGAAUAGCAUCACAGAACUGAAGGAAUAUCGGGACCAGGGUGGCUUUAGACUGCAAUUUUCUUUCAAUGUUAUGCCCAUCUUACAAGGGCACUGGUGCUUUGGAAAUGUUAAUAGCCUGUUGAUUCCUCCUGGUUCGAAUGGGAAGUAUUAUCUCUAUGCUCAUUGCUGGGUGCUCCAAGUUUGCCAAGAUAGUUCACAUGGACUGAUCAAAAAGUCCAGUGCAUGGUAUUCGUUUAUCACAAGGUUCAGCGUCCGGGUGCCGGGCGUGCCAAUGAUAGCAUGGUCAGUAUGCAUGGCGUUAAUUCGGACUAACUUUGAGAGAUGGUGGACUACUUGUUUGCAGUGUUUGGAACAACACCAAUGGUUAUCAAUGUUGCCGGCGUGUACAUCUCGGAUCUGGUUGGUAGCAUGGCCCAUGGACGGGGUGGAGCUCUGGAUUCACUGUGGGCACACAAUUUUUCAAGGAGGGAGGACCUUCAUGGUCGUCGCCACCUUUGUCGACCACAACUACUACCUCGACGUCAUCCUCAACUUGGUUGCUAUCGGCCAUGAUGACUACUUCGGCAACCUGGGCAAGCAAGCUUGCUACUUUGAUCGAGUCUACACCCAUCUUGGCUACUAUCAUGAAGAUUACCAUGGCGAUCCUAGCAAGAUCAAGGAACUUCAAGCGCCGUGGGAUCCUGGCAAGUCAGCCUUCCAGUCUUCUUCUGAGCUUCGGCUUGGGGUCAAGCCGAGUUUCAAGGAGGGAGGGGUGUUAGCAACCCUCCACGGGUGGGCCGUGGGCCGGCAUGAGAGGGUCGGGCCUAGCAUCCAGGCCAUGGAGCCAGCGACUACAAAUACUUGA
RNAcentral lists this ribosomal RNA (1626 nucleotides) under Triticum aestivum (bread wheat). RNAcentral's name for it is "partial small subunit ribosomal RNA". The record is from RNAcentral. Lineage: Eukaryota; Viridiplantae; Streptophyta; Magnoliopsida; Poales; Poaceae.